CGCGUAGGUGGCUCAGCAAGUUGGAUGUGAAAGCCCCGGGCUCAACCUGGGAACUGCAUCCAAAACUACUGAGCUAGAGUACGGUAGAGGGUGGUGGAAUUUCCUGUGUAGCGGUGAAAUGCGUAGAUAUAGGAAGGAACACCAGUGGCGAAGGCGACCACCUGGACUGAUACUGACACUGAGGUGCGAAAGCGUGGGGAGCAAACAG
RNAcentral lists this ribosomal RNA (208 nucleotides) under uncultured Pseudomonadaceae bacterium. Its description in RNAcentral is "partial 16S ribosomal RNA". It matches the Rfam family "Bacterial small subunit ribosomal RNA", at positions 568 to 775 of the family's 1533-position model. Lineage: Bacteria; Pseudomonadati; Pseudomonadota; Gammaproteobacteria; Pseudomonadales; Pseudomonadaceae. The record is from RNAcentral.